UACGUAGGGUGCGAGCGUUGUCCGGAAUUAUUGGGCGUAAAGGGCUCGUAGGCGGUUUGUCACGUCGGGAGUGAAAACUCGGGGCUUAACCCCGAGCCUGCUUCCGAUACGGGCAGACUAGAGGUAUGCAGGGGAGAACGGAAUUCCUGGUGUAGCGGUGAAAUGCGCAGAUAUCAGGAGGAACACCGGUGGCGAAGGCGGUUCUCUGGGCAUUACCUGACGCUGAGGAGCGAAAGUGUGGGGAGCAAACAGG
RNAcentral lists this ribosomal RNA (253 nucleotides) under uncultured bacterium. RNAcentral's name for it is "partial 16S ribosomal RNA". It matches the Rfam family "Bacterial small subunit ribosomal RNA", at positions 524 to 776 of the family's 1533-position model. The record is from RNAcentral.